CUUGAUCGACCCGAGCAGCAGCGGCCGCUCCGCCGGCCGGUCCUGCCCGUAGGUGGCCAGCAACGCCUGCGCCUC
This is a non-coding RNA of Saccharopolyspora erythraea, 75 nucleotides long. It matches the Rfam family "ASpks TB sRNA". The record is from Rfam. NCBI's taxonomy places the organism in Bacteria, Bacillati, Actinomycetota, Actinomycetes, Pseudonocardiales, Pseudonocardiaceae.